RNAcentral lists this transfer RNA (77 nucleotides) under Flavobacteriaceae bacterium. Its description in RNAcentral is "tRNA-Asp". It matches the Rfam family "tRNA". From Rfam's summary of the family: Transfer RNA (tRNA) molecules are approximately 80 nucleotides in length. Lineage: Bacteria; Pseudomonadati; Bacteroidota; Flavobacteriia; Flavobacteriales; Flavobacteriaceae. The record is from RNAcentral.
GCGAACGUAGCUUAGCGGCCUAAAGCACUCGCCUGUCACGCGAGGAGACGAGAGUUCAAAUCUCUUCGUUCGCGCCA